AUUGAACGCUGGCGGCAGGCCUAACACAUGCAAGUCGAGCGGAUGAAGGGAGCUUGCUCCUGGAUUCAGCGGCGGACGGGUGAGUAAUGCCUAGGAAUCUGCCUGGUCGUGGGGGAUAACGUCCGGAAACGGGCGCUAAUACCGCAUACGUCCUGAGGGAGAAAGUGGGGGAUCUUCGGACCUCACGCUAUCAGAUGAGCCUAGGUCGGAGUAGCUAGUUGGUGGGGUAAAGGCCUACCAAGGCGACGAUCCGUAACUGGUCUGAGAGGAUGAUCAGUCACACUGGAACUGAGACACGGUCCAGACUCCUACGGGAGGCAGCAGUGGGGAAUAUUGGACAAUGGGCGAAAGCCUGAUCCAGCCAUGCCGCGUGUGUGAAGAAGGUCUUCGGAUUGUAAAGCACUUUAAGUUGGGAGGAAGGGCAGUAAGUUAAUACCUUGCUGUUUUGACGUUACCAACAGAAUAAGCACCGGCUAACUUCGUG
This 484-nucleotide ribosomal RNA is filed under the name uncultured bacterium. Its description in RNAcentral is "partial 16S ribosomal RNA". It matches the Rfam family "Bacterial small subunit ribosomal RNA", at positions 30 to 507 of the family's 1533-position model. The record is from RNAcentral.